This 610-nucleotide long non-coding RNA is filed under the name Phasianus colchicus (ring-necked pheasant). Its description in RNAcentral is "lncRNA (ENSPCLG00000020203.1)". Lineage: Eukaryota; Metazoa; Chordata; Aves; Galliformes; Phasianidae. The record is from RNAcentral.
CAAGAACUCAUGCUAUUUGGCUGGAUAUCAGCUUGUAAAGAGUAGUCUUUUACAUGACAGUACACAACCGUUGACAGUCAAGUUUAAUUACCAAACAUCUGGUUUCUACAGUAACAGAAGGACAUUCAGUAUAUAAAAAUAAGUUGCACAUUUGUUUCAAGACUAAAUCGCAUCUCAUUAAGAUGCAAGUACCCAGAGACUGGACUAAAUCAAAUGAGAGUAGAUAGGAGGGUACUAUGUUUGAAUGAAAGGUCACCCAGAAACCAUCUAAAAAGCAGUGGUAUUUUUCUGUUUGUUUAGAGUCGGGAUUUCCCUCUAUUCGGAUCAAAGAUCAAGAUAAAUGUAUCUACAGGUUAGCAGUUGAAUUGAUCUGGAGGGAAAAGAAAAAUGAAAAACAGGUGGGUGAGGAAACGAAGAGGAAGGAAAUGUGGGGACUACAAUGAAAACUGAACUUCUGCUUAUGUUCAGGUUGUGCUAACAGCCUUUUCCUACUUUUAUAUUUAACAUAGAAAGGAUUUAGGACUCCAUUUUUCUAAAUUCUCUGAAGAGAAGUAGCUGAUUUCCUGAGCACUGGAAUAAAAAUUUGGCAUGCCAAAACUUUUUUCUUCUU